Molecule: long non-coding RNA, 1976 nt
Organism: Hydra vulgaris (swiftwater hydra)
Lineage: Eukaryota; Metazoa; Cnidaria; Hydrozoa; Anthoathecata; Hydridae
Source: RefSeq, a predicted model, not a curated record
UGGUUUAUUAAUUUUAUUAAUUUUUUAUUAUAUUUAUGGUUUAUUAAUAUUUAUGGUUUAUUAAUUUUUUUACGGUAUAUAUAUUUAUGGUUAUAUAUAUGAGUAUAUAUAUUUUUUAACAUUAUUCAUGGAAACUAAAAAUCGAAUGAAGCGCCGUCGCCUGAAUAAAAGUAUGUUGGAUUUUAUAAUGACGCGAGAUGAAGUUAUAUUAGCAUUAAUGUAAGUCGUGAACUUAAUGCUUCUUAUGAGCAUGAAACACCUUGUGAAGCCCCUGCUAAUAUUCAAGAAGAAAGUGGAGUAACAAAUUUAUCUUUGAGUUAUAAUUAUGAGAAUUUUGAAUGCUUUAAUACACCAACACUAUUGAAAACAGAAACAUUAUCACAAGGUUUGGCAAAGUGGCCGUCAAAAAGUAACAUUACUCAAAGUAAUUUAAAGGAACUUUUGAAUAUUCUCCGAAGGCAUGGUCAUUCAGAGUUGCCAAAAAUUGGAAGAUCCCUUUUAAAAUCCUCUAAAGUUUUUACAGUAGAUAGAAAGUGUGGCGGAACUUAUGCAUAUUUUACCAUUGCUGAUGACUUAAAUUAUUUUUUGAAUACAAAAAAAGAAUUUCAAAAUACUGAAUUAUCUGUUACUGUUAAUGUUGAUGGACUACCUCUUUUUAAAUCUUCUAAUCUUCAACUAUGGCCAAUACUUGGUUUAAUAGAGAACUAUAUUUUUAUAAUUGCACUUUUCUGUGGAAAUGCUAAACCAACCUGCUUAGAUGAUUUUCUUUAUGGUUUUAUCAAAGAAUUUUUUAUUUUUAUCUAAUGAAGGUUUAUACUACGAUAAUAAAAAAAUUAAUGUUUAACUCAAAGCAUUAAUAUGUGAUGCACCUUCUCGUUGUUUUCUUAAAUGUAUACAAGGUCAUACAGGGUAUUACUCUUGUGAACGGUGCCAAAUUCAAGGAUUAUAUGAGGAUAAUAGAGUGGUUUUUAUUGAUGACAACCUAUCAACUCCAAGAUCAACUGAGGAGUUUAAUACCUUUUCGUACACUAUACAUCAGAAAUCUCUUACUCCUUUACCUCAACUUCAAAUAUCUUGUGUUUCCUAUUUUAUUUUAGACUAUAUGCACAUGGUUUGUCUUGGAGUAGUAAGACGCAUACUUACCUUUUUAAAGUCAGGUCCUAAACAUUGUAGACUUUCAAAUACCCAAAUAAAAAAACAUCUGCUAAUCUAUUAAGCUUACGUGGUAUGAUGCCAUCUGAAUUUGCUCGACAACCAUGGUCUCUUUUUGAGUUAGAUCAAUGGAAAGCAACAGAGUUUAGGCAAUUUAUUUUAUACACUGGUCCCUUAGUUUUAAAGGGUGUUGUUAGCAAAGAAAUUUAUAACCACUUUCAAACAUUGCAUGUUGUGAUGGUGAUUCUCUUAAACGAAGAAAAUCAAGUUAGAAAUCAUUAUCUUGAAUUUGCUAAAAAACUAAUAAAUUAUUUUGUUACUAAUUCGAAACAUUUAUAUACAAAAUCAUUCUGUGUUUAUAAUGUUCACUGUGUACUUCAUAUUUGUGAUGAUGUUGUUAGAUUUGAUUGUUCACUAAAUACAAUAUCUUGUUUUCCCUUUGAAAAUUAUAUGCAGACAUUGAAGAAAGCAGUGAAAAAUUCAAAGAGUCCGGUUGUUCAAAUUACAAAACAGUAUCAAAAUUUACAAUAUUUAUUUAAUACAAAAUCUCAAAAACUAAAUACUUGAGUGAAGCUGAAAAAUUCAUGCUUUUACCUAGAAGAAAAUCAAUUUUGUUUUAUUGAUGAGAAAUUACCAUCUGGAUUUUUUAAAUAAGUUGUAACAAGAAGGUUUGGAAAAGUUUCAAAAAGUUUCAAAGAUAUAAGACAGCAAAUCGGAAGAUAUUGUAAAAAUGCUCCAUCGCGGAAAAAUAGAAACUAAAAUUUUUUAUUGUAUGUAUUGUAUGUUAUAUACAUUGUUAUAUAGAAAGAUACUUUAUUAAAAUC